GAUGAACGCUAGCUACAGGCUUAACACAUGCAAGUCGAGGGGCAGCAUGGUCUUAGCUUGCUAAGGCCGAUGGCGACCGGCGCACGGGUGAGUAACACGUAUCCAACCUGCCGUCUACUCUUGGACAGCCUUCUGAAAGGAAGAUUAAUACAAGAUGGCAUCAUGAGUUCACAUGUUCACAUGAUUAAAGGUAUUCCGGUAGACGAUGGGGAUGCGUUCCAUUAGAUAGUAGGCGGGGUAACGGCCCACCUAGUCUUCGAUGGAUAGGGGUUCUGAGAGGAAGGUCCCCCCACAUUGGAACUGAGACACGGUCCAAACUCCUACGGGAGGCAGCAGUGAGGAAUAUUGGUCAAUGGGCGCAGGCCUGAACCAGCCAAGUAGCGUGAAGGAUGACUGCCCUAUGGGUUGUAAACUUCUUUUAUAAAGGAAUAAAGUCGGGUAUGUAUACCCGUUUGCAUGUACUUUAUGAAUAAGGAUCGGCUAACUCCGUGCCAG
This 495-nucleotide ribosomal RNA is filed under the name uncultured bacterium. RNAcentral describes it as "bacterial SSU rRNA". It matches the Rfam family "Bacterial small subunit ribosomal RNA", at positions 28 to 511 of the family's 1533-position model. The record is from RNAcentral.